Long non-coding RNA from Lactuca sativa (garden lettuce), 634 nucleotides. RefSeq lists it as uncharacterized. The record is from RefSeq and is a predicted model, not a curated record. Lineage: Eukaryota; Viridiplantae; Streptophyta; Magnoliopsida; Asterales; Asteraceae.
UCAAAGUGCUUGUUAAUGGGUUUAACGAUAAAUCCAGUACGCCCAUGAGAGGUUCCCCAUACCACUGUUUCCUUCGGUUUUCUAUCUUUCUUAUAUAUAAUUUUCUUUUUGAAAUUGCAGGUUUUGUUUGUUGUUUGUUGAAAUCGCCCCCACUUUUGAUGUUUUCUCUUUUGUAAAUAUGGCCGAAGGGGAUGGGUCUCAAAUUCUAUUGAAAGCCUGAUUUCCAUGGGAUUUAUGGAGUAUAAACUCUCAUACAAGUUCUCGUAUCCCACACACCAAAAGAAACGGGGAGGGGGUUUGAACGUGUGAUGAUAUUAGGGAUUACAAAGAACAUGAUAUAAGGGAAUUGGUAGCUGCUCAAUGUCUUGGAUAUCUAUGAUUUUAUAUCUCGCUCACAGGAGCGGUGGUUGGGUUGAAAUAUCAUGGGAAUCUCGCUUUGAAUCCUGAUUCCAUUCUAGGAGGCCACACCAUGCUAGAAUUCAAGGAGUUACUGAUCUUUUUGUCACAGGAAGAAGGAACUACUAGUUCUGCUUACAGAGGUAAGCCCAAAUAUGAUGUGUCAUCAGAUCCAACUCCAAGAAUAACAACUACUAGUUCAGAUUCUGAGAAACAAGUUUAUCAUCUGGAGACAAAU